Molecule: non-coding RNA, 113 nt
Organism: Maylandia zebra (zebra mbuna)
Lineage: Eukaryota; Metazoa; Chordata; Actinopteri; Cichliformes; Cichlidae
Source: RefSeq, a predicted model, not a curated record
GGUCAUUGACCUCACCGGAGUUUUACCGUGGUUCAGGCUCCUAACGACACAAGACUUUGCUGCAAUAUGUCAUCUGACGAUGAUGAAAGGAAUAUGAUGAUAAUAACAUUGUU